AGUGAACGCUGGCGGUAGGCCUAACACAUGCAAGUCGAACGGCAGCACAGUAAGUGCUUGCUCUUACGGGGUGCCAGACGCGGACGUGUGACGAAUACAUCGGACUCUACUUUUUCGUGGGGGAUAACGUAGGGGAACUUACGCCAAUACCGCAUUCCACCUACGGUUGAAAGCAGUGGAUCUUUGGACCUUUCGCGAUUGAAUGAGCCGAUGUCGGUGUAGCUAGUUGGGGGGGUAAAGGCCCACCAAGGCGACGAUCCGGAGCUGGUCUGAGAGGAUGAUCGGCCACAUGGGAACUGGGACAGCGUCCAGACUCCUACGGGAGGGAGCAGUGGGGAAUAUUGGACAAAAGGGGGAAGCCUGGUCCAGGCAUAGCGCGUGGGUGGAAGAAGCCUUCGGGUUGGAAAGCCCUUUUGUUGGGAAAAAAAAGCAUUCGGUUAAUACCCAGCUGGUCUGACGGUAACCAGAAAAUAAGCACCGGCUAACUUCGUG
This 492-nucleotide ribosomal RNA is filed under the name uncultured bacterium. RNAcentral's name for it is "partial 16S ribosomal RNA". It matches the Rfam family "Bacterial small subunit ribosomal RNA", at positions 29 to 507 of the family's 1533-position model. The record is from RNAcentral.